RNAcentral lists this long non-coding RNA (474 nucleotides) under Rattus norvegicus (Norway rat). Its description in RNAcentral is "long non-coding RNA NONRATT012840". Lineage: Eukaryota; Metazoa; Chordata; Mammalia; Rodentia; Muridae. The record is from RNAcentral.
AGAUGGCGUCGCUCCCGGGGCAGGACUUUCAGGGCCUCGCGUCGGAACCCCGCUGAGGAGAGUCCGAGAGAGCCGCAAGCCUCCCCGCGGUGCGCCGCCCUCCGGAGACGAGCGGACGUGGACUGCCUCAGGGACUCCUAAGAAGGCCACUGGGGCUGCGAGAGUCCCGCCAAACCCAGGUGCGGACAGUAGGUAUGCUGAGCCAGGACCAAACGUCCUGAACGAGAAGUCGCCCGAAGGGGACCUGGACCUGUGGCUCAAUUGGCACAGUGCUUGUCUGGCAUCUUCCGGGCCCAGGGUUCGAUUCCUACGUGUUGCGCAGGCUGUAAGCCCAGCAUUCUGGAAGCGGAGGCUAGAGGAUCAGAAGUUCAAGGUCAUCUCAUCCAAUUGGAAGCCAGCCUGGGCAAGACACCUUAUCGACCAAAAAUAAAUAAAUAAAUAAAUAAAUAAAUAAAUAAAUAAAUAAAGUUUAAA